AGAGUUUGAUCCUGGCUCAGGAUAAACGCUGGCGGCGCACAUAAGACAUGCAAGUCGAACGGAAGUCGUUACGAAACGGAUUGAAGAUUUAUCAGAUUGAAGUUUUGUAACAAUGGCUUUAGUGGCGGACUGGUGAGUAACACGUAAGCAACCUGCCUAUUAGAGGGGAAUAACAAUGAGAAAUCAUUGCUAAUACCGCAUAAGCUUGUAGCAACGCAUGUUGUAGCAAGAAAAGGAGAAAUCCGCUAAUAGAUGGGCUUGCGGCUGAUUAGCUAGUUGGUAGGGUAAAGGCUUACCAAGGCAACGAUCAGUAGCCGGGCUGAGAGGCUCUGCGGCCACAUUGGGACUGAGAUACGGCCCAGACUCCUACGGGAGGCAGCAGUCGGGAAUAUUGCGCAAUGGAGGAAACUCUGACGCAGUGACGCCGCGUAUAGGAAGAAGGUUUUAGGAUUGUAAACUAUUUUAGACAGGGAAGAAUAAAUGACAGUACCUGUAGAAUAAGCUCCGGCUAACUACGUGCCAGCAGCCGCGGUAAUACGUAGGGAGCAAGCGUUAUCCGGAAUUAUUGGGUGUAAAGGGUGCGUAGACGGGAAUACAAGUUGGUUGUGAAAUCCCUCGGCUCAACCGAGGAACUGCAACCAAAACUAUAUUUCUUGAGUGCAGGAGAGGAAAGCGGAAUUCCUAGUGUAGCGGUGAAAUGCGUAGAUAUUAGGAGGAACACCAGUGGCGAAGGCGGCUUUCUGGACUGUAACUGACGUUGAGGCACGAAAGUGUGGGGAGCAAACAGGAUUAGAUACCCU
Molecule: ribosomal RNA, 800 nt
Filed under: uncultured bacterium
Lineage: Bacteria
Description: bacterial SSU rRNA
Rfam family: Bacterial small subunit ribosomal RNA
Source: RNAcentral